This 466-nucleotide ribosomal RNA is filed under the name uncultured bacterium. RNAcentral's name for it is "partial 16S ribosomal RNA". It matches the Rfam family "Bacterial small subunit ribosomal RNA", at positions 28 to 506 of the family's 1533-position model. The record is from RNAcentral.
GACGAACGCUGGCGGCGUGCUUAACACAUGCAAGUCGAACGGAAAGGCCUCUUUCGGGGGGUACUCGAGUGGCGAACGGGUGAGUAACACGUGAGUAACCUGCCCUUGACUUUGGGAUAACUUCAGGAAACUGGGGCUAAUACCGGAUAGGAGCUCCUGCUGCAUGGGGGGGGGUGGAAAGUUUCGGCGGUUGGGGAUGGACUCGCGGCUUAUCAGCUUGUUGGUGGGGUAGUGGCUUACCAAGGCUUUGACGGGUAGCCGGCCUGAGAGGGUGACCGGCCACAUUGGGACUGAGAUACGGCCCAGACUCCUACGGGAGGCAGCAGUGGGGAAUAUUGCACAAUGGGUGGAAGCCUGGUGCAGCAACGCCGUGUGCGGGAUGACGGCCUUCGGGUUGUAAACCGCUUUCGCUCAUGACGAAGCUUUGUGUGACGGUAGUGGGUAAAGAAGCACCGGCUACCUACGU